GUAGGUGGCAAGCGUUGUCCGGAAUUAUUGGGCGUAAAGCGCGCGCAGGUGGUUCUUUAAGUCUGAUGUGAAAGCCCCCGGGCUCAACCGGGGAGGGUCAUUGGAAACUGGGGAACUUGAGUGCAGGAGAGGAGAGUGGAAUUCCACGUGUAGCGGUGAAAUGCGUAGAUAUGUGGAGGAACACCAGUGGCGAAGGCGACUUUCUGGCCUGUAACUGACACUGAGGCGCGAAAGCGUGGGGAGCAAACAGGAUUAGAUACCCUGGUAGUCCACGCCGUAAACGAUGAGUGCUAAGUGUUGGGGGGUUUCCGCCCCUCAGUGCUGCAGCUAACGCAUUAAGCACUCCGCCUGGGGAGUACGGUCGCAAAGACUG
RNAcentral lists this ribosomal RNA (373 nucleotides) under uncultured organism. RNAcentral's name for it is "partial 16S ribosomal RNA". It matches the Rfam family "Bacterial small subunit ribosomal RNA", at positions 527 to 896 of the family's 1533-position model. The record is from RNAcentral.